This 462-nucleotide ribosomal RNA is filed under the name uncultured bacterium. RNAcentral describes it as "partial 16S ribosomal RNA". It matches the Rfam family "Bacterial small subunit ribosomal RNA", at positions 28 to 507 of the family's 1533-position model. The record is from RNAcentral.
GAUGAACGCUGACAGAAUGCUUAACACAUGCAAGUCAUUGGCGAAGCUGCGCUUGCGCAGUCUAGCCAAGGCGGACGGGUGAGUAACGCGUAAGGAACUUGCCCUGCAGACAGGGAUAACAGACGGAAACGACUGAUAACACCUGGUAUUGUCAGGCUGGCGCAUGCCGGCCUGAUGAAAGGAGACGCUGCAGGAGAGCCUUGCGUCCUAUUAGCUAGUUGGUGGGGUAACGGCCCACCAAGGCGAUGAUAGGUAACCGGCCUGAGAGGGUGAACGGCCACAAGGGGACUGAGAUACGGCCCUUACUCCUACGGGAGGCAGCAGUGGGGAAUAUUGGACAAUGGGGGCAACCCUGAUCCAGCAAUUCUGUGUGCACGAAGAAGGUUUUCGGAUUGUAAAGUGCUUUCAGCAGGGAAGAAGAAAGUGACGGUACCUGCAGAAGAAGCGACGGCUAAAUACGUG